ACGGAGGAUGCGAGCGUUAUCCGGAUUUAUUGGGUUUAAAGGGUGCGUAGGCGGACUGAUAAGUCAGCGGUAAAAUUGCGGGGCUCAACCCCGCCGAGCCGUUGAAACUGUCGGUCUUGAGUGAGCGAGAAGUAUGCGGAAUGCGUGGUGUAGCGGUGAAAUGCAUAGAUAUCACGCAGAACCCCGAUUGCGAAGGCAGCAUACCGGCGCUCAACUGACGCUGAGGCACGAAAGUGCGGGGAUCAAACAG
RNAcentral lists this ribosomal RNA (250 nucleotides) under uncultured bacterium. RNAcentral describes it as "partial 16S ribosomal RNA". It matches the Rfam family "Bacterial small subunit ribosomal RNA", at positions 525 to 775 of the family's 1533-position model. The record is from RNAcentral.